GCUGGGGUUCCACCUUGCUUGUGCAGCCCGCCGUUGCGUCUGGUCGGGUGUCUUUAAACGGAUGCCCGUCUUUGGACGUGACCCCUUUACCUUGAACAAAUCGGAGUGCUCAAAGCAGGCUCCUUUCGCUCGAACGGUAGCGCAUGGAAUAAUGGAAAAGGACCCGCUUCUUUUCUGUUGGUCUAGAGAAGGCAGGUAAUGAUCAAGAGGGACGGACGGGGGCAGAGGUAUGGCCCGGCGAGAGGUGAAAUUCUUGGACCCCGGCCAGACCCUCGAGAGCGAAAGCAUCUGCCAAGGAUGUUUCCAUUGAUCAAGAACGAAAGUCGCGGGAUCGAAGCGGAUUAGAGACCCGGACGUAGUCGCGACCGUAAACGAUGCCAACCGGGAAUUUGACAGCGUUACUUCCAUGACCUGCCAAGCGCCCGACCCGGGAAACCGAAAGUUUUUGGGUUCCGGGGGGAGUAUGGUUGCAAAGCUGAAACUUAAAGGGAUUGACGGAAGGGCACCACCAGGAGUGGAGCCUGCGGCUUAAUUUGACUCAACACGGGGAACCUCACCCGGCCCGGACACCGCGAGGAUUGACAGACUGAGAGCUCUUUCUCGAUUCGGUGGGUGGUGGUGCAUGGCCGUUCUUAGUUGGUGGAGCGAUCUGUCUGGUUAAUUCCGAUAACGAACGAGACCCCAUCCUGCUAACUAGCCCUCGGGUCCGGCUUCUGGCGGGCCCGAUGGAAUGACUCGCUUCUUAGAGGGACUCGCGGCGCCUAGCCGCACGAAGGGGGGCGAUAACAGGUCUGUGAUGCCCUUAGAUGUUCGGGGCUGCACGCGCGCUACACUGAAGGCACCAGCGUGCGCUUUGUCCGUUCCCUGCCUGAAAAGGCCGGGUAACCCGCUGAACCGCCUUCGUGCCUGGGAUAGGGAUUUGCAAUUAUCUCCCUUGAACGAGGAAUUCCCAGUAGGCGCGAGUCAUCAGCUCGCGUCGAUUACGUCCCUGCCCUUUGUACACACCGCCCGUCGCUACUACCGAU
RNAcentral lists this ribosomal RNA (1025 nucleotides) under Spadella cephaloptera. RNAcentral describes it as "SSU rRNA". It matches the Rfam family "Eukaryotic small subunit ribosomal RNA", at positions 666 to 1689 of the family's 1831-position model. The record is from RNAcentral. Lineage: Eukaryota; Metazoa; Chaetognatha; Sagittoidea; Phragmophora; Spadellidae.